This 253-nucleotide ribosomal RNA is filed under the name uncultured bacterium. Its description in RNAcentral is "partial 16S ribosomal RNA". It matches the Rfam family "Bacterial small subunit ribosomal RNA", at positions 524 to 776 of the family's 1533-position model. The record is from RNAcentral.
UACAGAGGGUGCGAGCGUUGUCCGGAAUCACUGGGCGUAAAGCGCGUGUAGGCGGCUUUGCAAGUCGGGUGUGAAAGCCCUCAGCUUAACUGAGGAAGUGCGCCCGAAACUGCUUGGCUUGAGUACCGGAGAGGAUGGCGGAAUUCCCCAAGUAGAGGUGAAAUUCGUAGAUAUGGGGAGGAACACCGGUGGCGAAGGCGGCCAUCUGGACGGAUACUGACGCUGAGACGCGAAAGCGUGGGUAGCAAACAGG